RNAcentral lists this ribosomal RNA (534 nucleotides) under Alternaria sp. KOP-4. RNAcentral describes it as "eukaryotic LSU rRNA". The stretch from base 160 to 313 matches the Rfam family "5.8S ribosomal RNA". Lineage: Eukaryota; Fungi; Ascomycota; Dothideomycetes; Pleosporales; Pleosporaceae. The record is from RNAcentral.
UAUGAAGGCGGGCUGGAAUCUCUCGGGGUUACAGCCUUGCUGAAUUAUUCACCCUUGUCUUUUGCGUACUUCUUGUUUCCUUGGUGGGUUCGCCCACCACUAGGACAAACAUAAACCUUUUGUAAUUGCAAUCAGCGUCAGUAACAAAUUAAUAAUUACAACUUUCAACAACGGAUCUCUUGGUUCUGGCAUCGAUGAAGAACGCAGCGAAAUGCGAUAAGUAGUGUGAAUUGCAGAAUUCAGUGAAUCAUCGAAUCUUUGAACGCACAUUGCGCCCUUUGGUAUUCCAAAGGGCAUGCCUGUUCGAGCGUCAUUUGUACCCUCAAGCUUUGCUUGGUGUUGGGCGUCUUGUCUCUAGCUUUGCUGGAGACUCGCCUUAAAGUAAUUGGCAGCCGGCCUACUGGUUUCGGAGCGCAGCACAAGUCGCACUCUCUAUCAGCAAAGGUCUAGCAUCCAUUAAGCCUUUUUUCACCCUUUGACCUCGGAUCAGGUAGGGAUACCCGCUGAACUUAAGCAUAUCAAUAAGCGGAGGAA